GGCCGAGUGGUGUGAGUGUUGGCAAACACGUACCGUGGUGUUCGGUAAGGUCCCCGGUUCGACUCCGGGCUCGGCCA
Non-coding RNA from Pseudoneurospora amorphoporcata, 77 nucleotides. The record is from the annotation of a GenBank genome assembly. NCBI's taxonomy places the organism in Eukaryota, Fungi, Ascomycota, Sordariomycetes, Sordariales, Sordariaceae.